UACGGAGGAUCCAAGCGUUAUCCGGAUUUAUUGGGUUUAAAGGGUGCGUAGGCGGCUAUUUAAGUCAGUGGUGAAAUCCUGCAGCUCAACUGUAGAACAGCCAUUGAAACUGAAUAGCUUGAGUAAUCUUGAGGUAGGCGGAAUGUGUUGUGUAGCGGUGAAAUGCUUAGAUAUAACACAGAACACCAAUUGCGAAGGCAGCUUACUAGGAUACAACUGACGCUGAGGCACGAAAGCGUGGGGAUCAAACAGG
RNAcentral lists this ribosomal RNA (253 nucleotides) under uncultured bacterium. Its description in RNAcentral is "partial 16S ribosomal RNA". It matches the Rfam family "Bacterial small subunit ribosomal RNA", at positions 524 to 776 of the family's 1533-position model. The record is from RNAcentral.